MicroRNA precursor from Poecilia formosa (Amazon molly), 102 nucleotides. NCBI's taxonomy places the organism in Eukaryota, Metazoa, Chordata, Actinopteri, Cyprinodontiformes, Poeciliidae. The record is from Ensembl.
UGACUGACUCACUGCUGUGUUUUAUGGCUUUCUAUUCCUAUGUGAUUUUCUCUGGCGUGUCACAUAGGGUCUAAAGCCAUUGGGUACAGAGUGGGAGAUCUG